AUUGAACGCUGGCGGCAGGCCUAACACAUGCAAGUCGAGCGGUAGCACAGGGAGCUUGCUCCUGGGUGACGAGCGGCGGACGGGUGAGUAAUGUCUGGGAAACUGCCUGAUGGAGGGGGAUAACUACUGGAAACGGUAGCUAAUACCGCAUAACGUCGCAAGACCAAAGAGGGGGACCUUCGGGCCUCUUGCCACCCGAUGUGCCCAGAUGGGAUUAGCUAGUAGGUGGGGUAACGGCUCACCUAGGCGACGAUCCCUAGCUGGUCUGAGAGGAUGACCAGCCACACUGGAACUGAGACACGGUCCAGACUCCUACGGGAGGCAGCAGUGGGGAAUAUUGCACAAUGGGCGCAAGCCUGAUGCAGCCAUGCCGCGUGUAUGAAGAAGGCCUUCGGGUUGUAAAGUACUUUCAGCGGGGAGGAAGGUGUUGAGGUUAAUAACCUCAGCAAUUGACGUUACCCGCAGAAGAAGCACCGGCUAACUCCGUGCCAGCCGCCGCAGUAA
This 504-nucleotide ribosomal RNA is filed under the name uncultured bacterium. RNAcentral's name for it is "partial 16S ribosomal RNA". It matches the Rfam family "Bacterial small subunit ribosomal RNA", at positions 30 to 523 of the family's 1533-position model. The record is from RNAcentral.